CCCAAAGUGCUGGGAUAAUCCUUACCUGUUCCUCCUUUGCAGGGCAGAUAGAACAUGAUCAUUGGAGAUGCAUGAAACGUGACUAACGUCUCUGUGUAAUCAGGACUUGCAACACACUUAAUUUUUUUUUUUAAU
Molecule: small nucleolar RNA, 135 nt
Organism: Nomascus leucogenys (northern white-cheeked gibbon)
Lineage: Eukaryota; Metazoa; Chordata; Mammalia; Primates; Hylobatidae
Gene: U8
Rfam family: U8 small nucleolar RNA
About the family: U8 is a member of the C/D class of snoRNA which contain the C (UGAUGA) and D (CUGA) box motifs. U8 is the RNA component of a small complex (the U8 snoRNP) which is required for accumulation of mature large subunit ribosomal RNAs, 5.8S and 28S rRNAs. U8 RNA has been identified in human, mouse, rat and Xenopus.
Source: Ensembl